AACGAACGCUGGCGGCAUGCCUAACACAUGCAAGUCGAACGAGACCUUCGGGUCUAGUGGCGCACGGGUGCGUAACGCGUGGGAACCUGCCCUUAGGUUCGGAAUAACUCCCCGUAAGGGGUGCUAAUACCGGAUAAUUUCUUCGGACCAAAGAUUUAUCGACUUUGGAUGGGCCCGCGUUGGAUUAGCUAGUUGGUAGGGUAAAAGCCUACCAAGGCGACGAUCCAUAGCUGGUCUGAGAGGAUGAUCAGCCACACUGGGACGGAGACACGGCCCAGACUCCUACGGGAGGGAGCAGUGGGGGAUAUUGGACAAUGGGCGAAAGCCUGAUCCAGCAAUGCCGCGUGAGUGAUGAAGGCCUUAGAGUUGUAAAGCUCUUUUACCCGGGAUGAUAAUGACAGUACCGGGAGAAUAAGCUCCGGCUAACUCCGUG
RNAcentral lists this ribosomal RNA (433 nucleotides) under uncultured bacterium. RNAcentral describes it as "partial 16S ribosomal RNA". It matches the Rfam family "Bacterial small subunit ribosomal RNA", at positions 29 to 507 of the family's 1533-position model. The record is from RNAcentral.